UCCCUGGCAGUCCAGUGGUUAGGACCAGGCUUUCACUGCCAAGGGCCUGGGUUCAAUCCCUGGUCAGGGAA
RNAcentral lists this transfer RNA (71 nucleotides) under Muntiacus reevesi (Reeves' muntjac). It matches the Rfam family "tRNA". Rfam says of the family: Transfer RNA (tRNA) molecules are approximately 80 nucleotides in length. Their secondary structure includes four short double-helical elements and three loops (D, anti-codon, and T loops). Further hydrogen bonds mediate the characteristic L-shaped molecular structure. tRNAs have two regions of fundamental functional importance: the anti-codon, which is responsible for specific mRNA codon recognition, and the 3' end, to which the tRNAs corresponding amino acid is attached (by aminoacyl-tRNA synthetases). tRNAs cope with the degeneracy of the genetic code in two manners: having more than one tRNA (with a specific anti-codon) for a particular amino acid; and 'wobble' base-pairing, i.e. permitting non-standard base-pairing at the 3rd anti-codon position. Lineage: Eukaryota; Metazoa; Chordata; Mammalia; Artiodactyla; Cervidae. The record is from Rfam by way of RNAcentral. RNAcentral also lists the same sequence under 7 other names.